This is a non-coding RNA of Notechis scutatus (mainland tiger snake), 98 nucleotides long. The record is from RefSeq and is a predicted model, not a curated record. NCBI's taxonomy places the organism in Eukaryota, Metazoa, Chordata, Lepidosauria, Squamata, Elapidae.
UAAUUCAACAUCUCAGCCGGUGUCAUGGAGUACAUUUUUGGUUUAGGCAGCUUUGCCCCAGGUUCUAAUUCGAUGGCACAAUCAGUGGCUCGAUGAGG